AUGGACACCGUUGGAGCCAGUCCUCAUCCUUUUCAUACACACAUAAAAAGAGAAAUUUCUCCUCCUCACCCCUGGCUUUUGGGCAGUGGGCGGUGUGUGGGUGGCGGUUUUCAAACCGAAGUCCUUCUAGACAACAGGUACGCACCGUUUCCUCAUGCCGUUGCUCGGGCUCAAUCCCGCGUGGCAGCCGGUUUUCUGCCACCCCCCAGGAGAGGACUCACUGCGUGUAGCAUAUGUCUCUCCGCCCAGGACUCUUCCUCCCCAUCGUCUUCUCCACACGGAGCCUCCCUUCCCCGACACCUUCUCCCACCGCCUCUGAGGCAGAAACGGCUCCGUCAGACGCUGUGGGGACACGGGCUCCUUCCCGCAGGGCAGAGGGGCUGCCGGGUCCCAGCCCGCAUCCUGACACCUCCGCACACCGCCCAGCGAACGACGCCCCGCAGCUGCCGCGGCUCGUUGCCAAGCCCAGGAUAACGCACCGAGGACCCAACUGCAGUUGAAGACCCAUUGUGCUAAGCACUAUACACGCAUGUAAAAACAGCUAAUGACUCUAUCCUCUUUCCUUGCACUUUCCCACCUUAGCCAUUAGUUACUUCGUAUCCUUGGAAGAAACACUGACCAGUGCCCAACACCCUCAAGCCAUGGCUAAAGAAGGAGCCAGAAGAUGCUGUUCCCUGUUCCUUAUGUUCUUCCUCGCCACAAAUGUUGUUUCCCAGCUGUCACUAAACACUGUGGCUUGCUGACAUUCCUUUUUAGGCUAGCAGUAAGAGUUUACUCAGACAACUUGACCAUUGUAACGGACCACGUAAUUCCCUUAGGCACUGAAACUGCUCGCUCCCCAAAAGCAAGUUGAACCCUAAAUGAAUAGGGCUUCCAAAAAACCUGAUCCUGCAUCUCACCAUCUUCGUGCAUUAACCAGCAUGACUGUGGUGUGCAAGACAGUUCUUUUGCAAACUUGAUGACAUCCCUCAUCAGCACAUAAUAGACACAGCAGUAACAUCAUCCCCCGCAUCUGCCUCAGUUGUCAAUACUCUGCAUGCUACUUUGCAACUCUGGACGUAGCUGCAUUAUUAUUGUUCUAAGCCUCCAUCAUGAACUGCUAGUACUUCUCUUACUUUCUCCCUGAUCUCAGCACAAGCAUAUGCAAGCACACACGUGGAGGCAACAUUUCUUGUGUUGUACCAACAGGCAUUUUUAUUUUUCAUCAGGCCUUUAUUAGCGCACUGCUGGAGAGUUGUCUUGACUGCUUUGAUAACGUUAAUGAUCAUAUUGUGUGUAAUUGCAUGUUAUCUCUUGGGAAAGUUGUAUAAUAUCACAGGCACAGUGGAAAGAACAGCUAAUGUAUGUAUAGAUUUAAUUGUUAGCUAUAUCUCUGCAUGCAGGGCUUGGAAAUAGCUUAUACAUGCCCAUACACCAUACUGGUGCCUCUUGCAUGCUGCUCUCUUGUUCUAUAGAAUCUCAGCUUCAAUUUUUUUUCUUAAAUGACCUCUUAAACUGUUAUGGUUGCGAAGAAAACCUCAAACACAUAAAACAAGUGUAACUACCUAAGAGCCACCCAAGUCUGCAGAGCAUCUGUAACAAUAGUUCCAUUCAUCUCAGUGAGGCGUUAACUCAGAUGCCCAGCUAUGAUCAUUUAAGAUGUCAACAUUGUGCAGAUCUGUGAUCAUCCCUCUCCUUUCUUAUGUGAGGAAUAACAUAAUCUACUAUGAGUGAUGUAUCAUUCUGGAUUCACAAGUGUGUGGUAUUUGAAGAUACUACUACGUGUGUUUUUAACUCAGUUGAAAAGGAAUCAAUCCCAAUUUGCCUUGCAGAGCCUAUGGGCCUAUACAAGCCCCAGUGAGGAGAGGAGCCAAGAUCAAGAGCUCAGAGAACACACACUCAGUGGAGUUAGAGAACACACACAAUCAUAUUUAAACAACAGCAAAAUACACUGUGUGCAAUGUCUCAUUUUGAUAAUUCCAGUUGAUGGAGCUUAUUUUGUGGGUGGAGCUUGAAAGAGUGCUACCAACUUUCUUUUUCCAGUCUAAUCUAUUUGCAUGCCAUGUAAUAUCCUUUUGCAAACACUGUAGGACCUGUCUAAAUUCUCCUCAAAAAGUGAUUUGUACAGUUCACAUUCCAGAUAACACAACAUUUUUGGAAGCAUUUGUCCUUUUGUUUUCUUUUUUUUUUUGACACUGUUAAUUAAAAUUGGUGCAAAGCAUUGUAUAGAUUAAACCACAAAUAUUAAUAAUGAAAUAAACCAGAGCAGAUAGGAAGGACCUAUUCUUUU
This 2269-nucleotide long non-coding RNA is filed under the name Chrysemys picta bellii (western painted turtle). RNAcentral describes it as "lncRNA (ENSCPBG00000016284.1)". The record is from RNAcentral. Lineage: Eukaryota; Metazoa; Chordata; Testudines; Emydidae.